GUGAACGCUGGCGGUAGGCCUAACCCAUGCAAGUCGAACGGCAGCACAGUAAGAGCUUGCUCUUACGGGUGGCGAGUGGCGGACGGGUGAGGAAUACAUCGGAAUCUACUUUUUCGUGGGGGAUAACGUAGGGAAACUUACGCUAAUACCGCAUACGACCUACGGGUGAAAGCAGGGGAUCUUCGGACCUUGCGCGAUUGAAUGAGCCGAUGUCGGAUUAGCUAGUUGGCGGGGUAAAGGCCCACCAAGGCGACGAUCCGUAGCUGGUCUGAGAGGAUGAUCAGCCACACUGGAACUGAGACACGGCCCAGACUCCUACGGGAGGCAGCAGUGGGGAAUAUUGGACAAUGGGCGCAAGCCUGAUCCAGCCAUACCGCGUGGGUGAAGAAGGCCUUCGGGUUGUAAAGCCCUUUUGUUGGGAAAGAAAAGCAGCAGGUUAAUACCCCGCUGUUCUGACGGUACCCAAAGAAUAAGCACCGGCUAACUUCGUG
Molecule: ribosomal RNA, 491 nt
Filed under: uncultured bacterium
Lineage: Bacteria
Description: partial 16S ribosomal RNA
Rfam family: Bacterial small subunit ribosomal RNA
Source: RNAcentral